GUGCGGGAGGGAAGCAGGAAGUGACUGCGGGAGUGGAGCCGGCGAGCGAGUGGCAGCGGGGGCUGAUGGAAGUGCAGUGGGGGCUGGAGAGGGCACCCUAGCGGUGUGUGGGGGUACCCGGGAUUCCUGGGAGCAGAGGCAGCUACAAUUCCAGCUGCUCCCAGGCCCCUCCCACUUGCUCUGGCUGUUAGCUGGACCUCUGGAACUUGACUGGGAAUCUGGUUAACUUGCAGCAGGUCUGGGUGGGGCGUGACAGUGUGCAUUUCUAACCAAUUCCCAGGUUGGGUGGUCCGCGGACCACGCUUUGAGUAGCGAGGCAUUAGAGAACUUUUCCACAGUCCUCUCCGCCCAGACCUGAUUCCUUCUGCUGGAUUCCCCCUCGUGGAGUUAGGGCAUGUGUGUGCAGCUCCACUAAGGCCCAGCAGCCCUAGUGCUGUUUCCACUUCUGCAACUUCACCAUCCUCUUGAACUGACUCUUGGAAGCGGAACAACAGGUUUAAAAGGGGGAGAAAGGAAAUAAAGAAAACAAACCUGUAUCAAUCAGCCGGGAAUGCCCAU
This 558-nucleotide small RNA is filed under the name Pan troglodytes (chimpanzee). RNAcentral describes it as "processed transcript". Lineage: Eukaryota; Metazoa; Chordata; Mammalia; Primates; Hominidae. The record is from RNAcentral.